GAUGAACGCUGGCGGCGUGCCUAAUACAUGCAAGUCGAGCGAACAGACGAGGAGCUUGCUCCUCUGACGUUAGCGGCGGACGGGUGAGUAACACGUGGAUAACCUACCUAUAAGACUGGGAUAACUUCGGGAAACCGGAGCUAAUACCGGAUAAUCUAUUGAACCGCAUGGUUCAAUAGUGAAAGACGGUUUUGCUGUCACUUAUAGAUGGAUCCGCGCCGCAUUAGCUAGUUGGUAAGGUAACGGCGUACCAAGGCGACGAUGCGUAGCCGACCUGAGAGGGUGAUCGGCCACACUGGAACUGAGACACGGUCCAGACUCCUACGGGAGGCAGCAGUAGGGAAUCUGCCGCAAUGGGCGAAAGCCUGACGGAGCAACGCCGCGUGAGUGAUGAAGGUCUUCGGAUCGUAAAACUCUGUUAUUAGGGAAGAACAAAUUUGUAAGUAACUAUGCACGUCGUGACGGUACCUAAUCAGAAAGCCACGGCUAACUACGUG
RNAcentral lists this ribosomal RNA (497 nucleotides) under uncultured bacterium. RNAcentral describes it as "partial 16S ribosomal RNA". It matches the Rfam family "Bacterial small subunit ribosomal RNA", at positions 28 to 507 of the family's 1533-position model. The record is from RNAcentral.